Molecule: ribosomal RNA, 261 nt
Filed under: uncultured prokaryote
Description: partial 16S ribosomal RNA
Rfam family: Bacterial small subunit ribosomal RNA
Source: RNAcentral
UACGUAGGUGGCAAGCGUUAUCCGGAAUUAUUGGGCGUAAAGAGCGCGCAGGUGGUUGAUUAAGUCUGAUGUGAAAGCCCACGGCUUAACCGUGGAGGGUCAUUGGAAACUGGUCGACUUGAGUGCAGAAGAGGGAAGUUGAAUUCCAUGUGUAGCGGUGAAAUGCGUAGAGAUAUGGAGGAACACCAGUGGCGAAGGCGGCUUCCUGGUCUGUAACUGACGCUGAGGCACGAAAGCGUGGGGAGCAAACAGGAUUAGAUA